UUAACGACUCUCGGCAACGGAUAUCUCGGCUCUCGCAUCGAUGAAGAACGUAGCGAAAUGCGAUACUUGGUGUGAAUUGCAGAAUCCCGUGAACCAUCGAGUCUUUGAACGCAAGUUGCGCCCGAAGCCAUUAGGCCAAGGGCACGCCUGCCUGGGCGUCUCGCA
This 165-nucleotide ribosomal RNA is filed under the name Madhuca kingiana. RNAcentral describes it as "5.8S ribosomal RNA". It matches the Rfam family "5.8S ribosomal RNA". From Rfam's summary of the family: 5.8S ribosomal RNA (5.8S rRNA) is a component of the large subunit of the eukaryotic ribosome. It is transcribed by RNA polymerase I as part of the 45S precursor that also contains 18S and 28S rRNA. Functionally, it is thought that 5.8S rRNA may be involved in ribosome translocation. The record is from RNAcentral. Lineage: Eukaryota; Viridiplantae; Streptophyta; Magnoliopsida; Ericales; Sapotaceae.